UGGGGAAUAUUGCGCAAUGGGCGAAAGCCUGACGCAGCAACGCCGCGUGAGUGAUGAAGGCCUUCGGGUCGUAAAGCUCUGUCGGAGGGAACGAAUGCUCUUGAGGUUAACAGCCUCGGGAGGUGACGGUACCCUCAAAGGAAGCACCGGCUAACUCUGUGCCAGCAGCCGCGGUAAUACAGAGGGUGCAAGCGUUGUUCGGAAUCAUUGGGCUUAAAGGGCGCGUAGGCGGCCGAGCGGGUCGUGGGUGAAAUCCUCCAGCUUAACUGGAGAACUGCUUACGAUACCACUGCGGCUCGAGGAAGGAAGGGGUCAUGGGAACUGUCGGUGGAGCGGUGAAAUGCGUUGAUAUCGACAGGAACGCCUGUGGCGAAAGCGCAUGACUGGUCCUUUUCUGACGCUGAGGCGCGAAAGCCAGGGGAGCAAACGGGAUUAGAUACCCGUGUAGUCCCUGAGCGGGCUGGCAAGGCGCAU
RNAcentral lists this ribosomal RNA (474 nucleotides) under uncultured bacterium. Its description in RNAcentral is "bacterial SSU rRNA". It matches the Rfam family "Bacterial small subunit ribosomal RNA", at positions 355 to 825 of the family's 1533-position model. The record is from RNAcentral.